UUUUUCUUUUUUAAAAGUAAAACACAUUUGUGAGAGACACACCACAUACUCAUCCAAUUUUUUUUCAUGAGAUGAACAAGCUUUUGUCCCUUCGAGACAUAACCUAUAACUGUUUCUUCUUCUUCCAUCUGCAAUAAUUCAUACUUCAUUCGAAAAGUCUGUAAUUUGACGACUUUAACCUUCUCAUCUCCUUCGUAAUACUUGAUAAAAAUAUCCCAUGCCUCCUUUGUUGAUUCAUCAUAAGGAAUUCUAUCAAAGUUCGACAUGUAUAUUGUCG
RNAcentral lists this long non-coding RNA (277 nucleotides) under Lathyrus oleraceus (garden pea). RNAcentral's name for it is "Pisum sativum (pea) long non-coding RNA (PSAT_LNC009132)". The record is from RNAcentral. Lineage: Eukaryota; Viridiplantae; Streptophyta; Magnoliopsida; Fabales; Fabaceae.